RNAcentral lists this ribosomal RNA (465 nucleotides) under Vreelandella stevensii. RNAcentral describes it as "partial 16S ribosomal RNA". It matches the Rfam family "Bacterial small subunit ribosomal RNA", at positions 338 to 795 of the family's 1533-position model. The record is from RNAcentral. Lineage: Bacteria; Pseudomonadati; Pseudomonadota; Gammaproteobacteria; Oceanospirillales; Halomonadaceae.
CCUACGGGGGGCUGCAGUGGGGAAUAUUGGACAAUGGGGGGAACCCUGAUCCAGCCAUGCCGCGUGUGUGAAGAAGGCCCUCGGGUUGUAAAGCACUUUCAGUGAGGAAGAACGCCUGGUGGUGAAUACCCAUCAGGAAAGACAUCACUCACAGAAGAAGCACCGUCUAACUCCGUGCCAGCAGCCGCGGUAAUACGGAGGGUGCGAGCGUUAAUCGGAAUUACUGGGCGUAAAGCGCGCGUAGGUGGCUUGAUAAGCCGGUUGUGAAAGCCCCGGGCUCAACCUGGGAACGGCAUCCGGAACUGUCAAGCUAGAGUGCAGGAGAGGAAGGUAGAAUUCCCGGUGUAGCGGUGAAAUGCGUAGAGAUCGGGAGGAAUACCAGUGGCGAAGGCGGCCUUCUGGACUGACACUGACACUGAGGUGCGAAAGCGUGGGUAGCAAACAGGAUUAGAUACCCUAGUAGUC